RNAcentral lists this ribosomal RNA (599 nucleotides) under bacterium amp-w-84. RNAcentral's name for it is "bacterial SSU rRNA". It matches the Rfam family "Bacterial small subunit ribosomal RNA", at positions 52 to 652 of the family's 1533-position model. The record is from RNAcentral.
CACAUGCAGUCGAACGGUAACAGCUCUUCGGAGGCUGACGAGUGGCGAACGGGUGAGUAAUACAUCGGAACGUGCCCGAUCGUGGGGGAUAACGGAGCGAAAGCUUUGCUAAUACCGCAUACGAUCUACGGAUGAAAGCAGGGGACCUUCGGGCCUUGCGCGAACGGAGCGGCCGAUGGCAGAUUAGGUAGUUGGUGGGAUAAAAGCUUACCAAGCCGACGAUCUGUAGCUGGUCUGAGAGGACGACCAGCCACACUGGGACUGAGACACGGCCCAGACUCCUACGGGAGGCAGCAGUGGGGAAUUUUGGACAAUGGGCGAAAGCCUGAUCCAGCAAUGCCGCGUGCAGGAUGAAGGCCUUCGGGUUGUAAACUGCUUUUGUACGGAACGAAAAGUCUCGGGAUAAUACCCUGGGACCAUGACGGUACCGUAAGAAUAAGCACCGGCUAACUACGUGCCAGCAGCCGCGUAAUACGUAGGGUGCAAGCGUUAAUCGGAAUUACUGGGCGUAAAGCGUGCGCAGGCGGUUAUAUAAGACAGAUGUGAAUCCCCGGGCUCAACCUGGGACUGCAUUUGUGACUGUAUAGCUAGAGUACGGU